GCCAGCCAGCGACUAGCGCCUCCCUACCCGCCAGCCCAGCCUCCCAUGGGGCCCUGGGAACCUGCGCUUCUUAGUGAGGAAUGAAAUUCACUUGCCUUCACUUCCAGAUAAGCUCUGAUAAGCUCUUGCUGUGUUGCCCUGAAUGGCCUGGAACUUCUGAUUCUCUUGCCCCAGCCUCCCAAAGAGCUGGGACUAUAGCUUGUAACAGAAACCUGUGUACCUGAAGACAGUGGAAAACAAACAGAUGAGGCAACUUCAUGUAUCAAUUAUGAAGGAAAAGCUGAAUAAAACCCAAAAUUCAUGCCAGCCAGCCCUGAGCCCUCAUUUACUGUGAACUGAGACUAAUAGUUCAAAUAUCAAACAUUUUCAAUGAUUUUUAAAAAAGAUAUUCAUUAAAUAAUAUCAUAUACAAUACUUAA
Molecule: long non-coding RNA, 419 nt
Organism: Marmota monax (woodchuck)
Lineage: Eukaryota; Metazoa; Chordata; Mammalia; Rodentia; Sciuridae
Exons: 3
Source: RefSeq, a predicted model, not a curated record